This 1358-nucleotide ribosomal RNA is filed under the name uncultured bacterium. Its description in RNAcentral is "bacterial SSU rRNA". It matches the Rfam family "Bacterial small subunit ribosomal RNA", at positions 28 to 1381 of the family's 1533-position model. The record is from RNAcentral.
GAUGAACGCUAGCUACAGGCUUAACACAUGCAAGUCGAGGGGCAGCAUGGUCUUAGCUUGCUAAGGACGAUGGCGACCGGCGCACGGGUGAGUAACACGUAUCCAACCUGCCGUCUACUCUUGGACAGCCUUCUGAAAGGAAGAUUAAUACAAGAUGGCAUCAUGAGUCCACAUGUUCACAUGAUUAAAGGUAUUCCGGUAGACGAUGGGGAUGCGUUCCAUUAGAUAGUAGGCGGGGUAACGGCCCACCUAGUCUUCGAUGGAUAGGGGUUCUGAGAGGAAGGUCCCCCACAUUGGAACUGAGACACGGUCCAAACUCCUACGGGAGGCAGCAGUGAGGAAUAUUGGUCAAUGGGCGAGAGCCUGAACCAGCCAAGUAGCGUGAAGGAUGACUGCCCUAUGGGUUGUAAACUUCUUUUAUAAAGGAAUAAAGUCGGGUAUGGAUACCCGUUUGCAUGUACUUUAUGAAUAAGGAUCGGCUAACUCCGUGCCAGCAGCCGCGGUAAUACGGAGGAUCCGAGCGUUAUCCGGAUUUAUUGGGUUUAAAGGGAGCGUAGAUGGAUGUUUAAGUCAGUUGUGAAAGUUUGCGGCUCAACCGUAAAAUUGCAGUUGAUACUGGAUAUCUUGAGUGCAGUUGAGGCAGGCGGAAUUCGUGGUGUAGCGGUGAAAUGCUUAGAUAUCACGAAGAACUCCGAUUGCGAAGGCAGCCUGCUAAGCUGCAACUGACAUUGAGGCUCGAAAGUGUGGGUAUCAAACAGGAUUAGAUACCCUGGUAGUCCACACGGUAAACGAUGAAUACUCGCUGUUUGCGAUAUACAGCAAGCGGCCAAGCGAAAGCGUUAAGUAUUCCACCUGGGGAGUACGCCGGCAACGGUGAAACUCAAAGGAAUUGACGGGGGCCCGCACAAGCGGAGGAACAUGUGGUUUAAUUCGAUGAUACGCGAGGAACCUUACCCGGGCUUAAAUUGCAGAUGAAUUACGGUGAAAGCCGUAAGCCGCAAGGCAUCUGUGAAGGUGCUGCAUGGUUGUCGUCAGCUCGUGCCGUGAGGUGUCGGCUUAAGUGCCAUAACGAGCGCAACCCUUGUUGUCAGUUACUAACAGGUUCCGCUGAGGACUCUGACAAGACUGCCAUCGUAAGAUGUGAGGAAGGUGGGGAUGACGUCAAAUCAGCACGGCCCUUACGUCCGGGGCUACACACGUGUUACAAUGGGGGGUACAGAGGGCCGCUACCACGCGAGUGGAUGCCAAUCCCAAAAACCUCUCUCAGUUCGGACUGGAGUCUGCAACCCGACUCCACGAAGCUGGAUUCGCUAGUAAUCGCGCAUCAGCCACGGCGCGGUGAAUACGUUCCCGGGCCU